Cottoperca gobio is the source of this 2350-nucleotide long non-coding RNA. The record is from Ensembl. Lineage: Eukaryota; Metazoa; Chordata; Actinopteri; Perciformes; Bovichtidae.
AGGGGCGCCCCGGGUCCCCACGUGUUAGAGCUGCCGGUGGUGCUAGUGGUGGUGAUCCCGUUUUCUCCCACCUUGUGUUUUUUUGGGUUUUUUUUUGGGGGGGGGGGGUGAAAGAAUUACUUCCAGGGCACAACAACUCGUUUCCUCAUCACCCUAACCCCCCAGAACCUCUCCCCAGCCCCUCCACAGGCUUCCAACAGCCUCACCGAGCCCGCAGGGUGAAUGUGUUUGUGCAGAUGGCCUUGUAAAAUGAAGUUUUCCUACCAGACCCUCACUCUUUAGUCUGUAUCUGAUGCAGCUGCUUUGGGCCGUUUUUCACGUGAGGAUGCUGUGAAACCAACAGAAACUGGACCAAAACAGAUGAUGGAGAAACAGAAAGAUGGAUGAGGAUGAAGCGAUUUCCCAGCACAUAUAAAGAGCACUUCUUUCAUUAUGCCGUUGUUUGUUUAUUUGGAUUACAGUGUGUGUGUGUUCAAGGGAUGGGGGAGGAGCAGACACAGAGAACGACACAGGAAAAGAGGGAAAAAACAGCCAGCUGUCGAGCAUCAGAAAAAAGAAAAAGGAGAGUGAUCCAAUACAAAGAGAGAAUACGUUAGACUGGGUUGGCUGAACUGGAGGAUGUGGAGGGAUUAAGUAUCCUUCAAAGCAGAAGGCCCGAGUAGAAAACAUCUCAAACUGCUCAUUGUGAAGGCAACAAAAAAGAAAGUGUGGAUUUUGGUUUAAAAACAGAGAAAAUGAAAAUAUCCACAGCCCUUAUUAUUUACAUGUUUUGCACAUUACGUGUUUUUUGUUAUAUCCUAAUAGUCUGUUAUCACCAUUGGUUUGCAUACACUCACUGAACAGCAUGCAGAUCCUAUCAGCUGUAUCUCUGUCAGCAGUAGAUAAUGAUUGUUUUUAAUGUGACAUGUUUAAGCAAUUAUCUGUGGAUUUAGUCAAACAAGGCAGGGUGGCUCAGUCCACACAUUUAAAUGAAAGUAACAAAGGUUUUUAGACCGCACCCAGGCCACAUGUUGCCAUGCGGCACACUGGCUUUGGGCAUGUUGAGCACACAUGUGAACAUCUAAUGAAGAGCCCGAACACAGAGCGCUGCUCCUCGCUCCUCUAUCGUUGGACACAUAGCACUGAUUGUCUCCAUCUGAUUUCCACCAGGCAGGAAGGUCUAAUGCAAAUACUUUUCUUUGCAAUGUGAACUUUGUGUGGCCGCUCUGUUUGUCAGUCUGCAGGAACGACCCGAAGAGAAGAAGCCCACAAUGAGAUCUUUCGCUCAGCCAGUGUUUGUGUUUUUACUGGCUAUGAAGCUUUGAAUUCACUUCCAACCUUUAUUCAUUAUUCAUUUCUUAAGUGUUUCAUUGAAUGUUGUAUAAUUUGUUUUAGCCGAUGUUUGGGUGGCACUGGCAAUUGUAUUUGGCUUUGAGCUGUCAAGUCCACUGAAUGAGUAUUAACGUAUAUACAAUGCAUUCCGAUGCUUUCAUUAAAUGCUUUCAGAUUGUCAGCUAACAACUGGAAAGGUAAGGUGUCGUUUUUCUUCUGUCCGGCUGCAGAAAAUAAAUGAACACCUUAUGUCAGGGGGGAAAUGACGUAUGUUCUCACUUCCUCAUUUAGCAAGAGCUGUGUCAAGUUAAAAUGAGUUCCCAUCCCAGUUUGGACUCAAACUUUACACUUUAUCCACACAAGAGUACUCACGUGAUGCUCCGAGGAUUACAAGACUGUCUCAAAAGUGUCUUUUUAAUUUCCUACUUAUUUACUGUUCAGAAUUUUGCUGCAAUGUUUACGUAGUAUCUCUUUCCUGUACGAUUAUUAUUCCGUUAUUUUAACUGAAAGCUUCAAUUAGCUUCUCACUAUGAGCAAUGGAGAACUAAUACAAUGUUUUCAGUCAGAACGGUUACAACAGUUCUAGUUAUUUCAAUUUUGAGAUUUCUCUAUUUGUGUUUGUGUUUGUACCAAUCAGAAUUUAGCAAUAUUUGAAUAAAACAUUUGCAGCUGUGGGGUUGUUUGCUUAUAUUAGCCUGGCUCGCCCACAGCUCAGAUUGUUCAGUGGAGGAGAACAACAACAAGUUAAUAACAUGAACACAAUGUCCGGCGAUAUGAAGAAAGUGAAACAAAAAGGCCAAUCAGUCAGGUCAUCAGGUUAUGCUCAUGUUGUCAAUCAAAUGUGGUCAAACCACACCCACACAAUCAAGUUUUGGAGUGCUAAAGUGCUAAUAAAUAACACAUGUUUCUACAUAAGAUGAAACCAUUGACUACUUUUUUUGUUAAUGUUUAAUUUGUUUUGAUCUGAUCAUAUUUGGUUGUCAACUUUUUUUUUACUUACAGUCAUUGACUUUCAAUGAUUUCAUUUAUUUUAUGGACA